AUUGAACGCUGGCGGAAUGCUUUACACAUGCAAGUCGAACGGCAGCACGGACUUCGGUCUGGUGGCGAGUGGCGAACGGGUGAGUAAUACAUCGGAACGUGCCCAGUCGUGGGGGAUAACGUAGCGAAAGCUACGCUAAUACCGCAUACGAUCUACGGAUGAAAGCGGGGGAUCGCAAGACCUCGCGCGGUUGGAGCGGCCGAUGGCAGAUUAGGUAGUUGGUAGGGUAAAGGCCUACCAAGCCGACGAUCUGUAGCUGGUCUGAGAGGAUGAUCAGCCACACUGGGACUGAGACACGGCCCAGACUCCUACGGGAGGCAGCAGUGGGGAAUUUUGGACAAUGGACGCAAGUCUGAUCCAGCCAUUCCGCGUGCAGGAUGAAGGCCCUCGGGUUGUAAACUGCUUUUGUACAGAACGAAAAGGCUCUGGUUAAUACCUGGGGCUCAUGACGGUACUGUAAGAAUAAGCACCGGCUAACUACGUGCCAGCCGCCGCGGUAA
This 500-nucleotide ribosomal RNA is filed under the name uncultured bacterium. RNAcentral describes it as "partial 16S ribosomal RNA". It matches the Rfam family "Bacterial small subunit ribosomal RNA", at positions 30 to 523 of the family's 1533-position model. The record is from RNAcentral.